Molecule: long non-coding RNA, 1868 nt
Organism: Megalops cyprinoides (Indo-Pacific tarpon)
Lineage: Eukaryota; Metazoa; Chordata; Actinopteri; Elopiformes; Megalopidae
Exons: 3
Source: RefSeq, a predicted model, not a curated record
CGCACAGCUAGAAGGUCGAGCGGAGCUGAGAAGACGAAUGUUUUCCCGUUUCUUUUGCAUUUCAUGGCAAGAUGUUCAUCGAAGGUCUCAGUGGCCCAGAGGGACUAAGAUAUCGUGAAGGAAUUACUUGAAUCGGAGGUGCUGAUAAUGUGACACUCAGUCUUAUGGCAUUUAUGAAGUGUGCCUGUAGAGAUCCAUGGGUCCUGAUUACAUCUCGCAGUGAACCGACCUGAAUGGCCUGAUCGGGAGAAAAUGCCAGUUACCUGCAGCAUUAAGGUAAAAUGUUGUGCUGUUGGUAAAUGUCUUACCUUUGUGUAUAUUUGCCACAUUUUUAAUUUUCCUUUGCUGAAUGGACUAAAUUUUUUCCUGAAGGUAUCCCCGACCAGCCUGUUUCAGUGGGGUCCGCUGCACUGUGCCUCCCCUGCUGCUUCUGUAAUGGAAUGGUAAACUUUCUCAGGCGGCCUCAUCAACUGGUUUAACAACCUGCUCAAAGUAUUUGUCUUGUCAGUAUUUCAGGUAGCUCAUGUAUGUAUCUGUGUGGUGUCCAGGUCAUUUUGGAAGAAUGGUAAGAUUUUUGGUAUUGAUUACAAAGCUUUACUUUUUUUUUUCCUUUCUUGAAUUCACACUCCAGUGAUGGGAAUUAACGAAUUACAAGGAAUUUUGUCACCCCUCCUGUGCCUAUAUCAGUGAGUUCAGUCAGGUAGGUAGAGCAGGGAAAGAUGGAAAACAUGCAGAGCAGGGGGGCCCCAGGACCAGGAUUGAGAAUGUGACCUAUAUCAAUGGCCAUAUGCUAAAAAUCUGACAAUCGCUUUGCACAAUGAAAACUGCUUAUUCCAGUCAAGGGUUAGUCAUUAAAAGCUAUUCAUUAGGAGUAGCUUUGAUGUGAGUCAGAAUGGUCUUCUUUCUCAUUUAUGUGAGCAGUCACUUGCCUUUGAAAUGAUCAGCUUGAUAUGAUCAGCCUCUAGCGGCUCAAAGCUGGUUGCAUAAUUAGAAUAUCUGUGCAACCCUAUGGCCCCGCACCCUAGGUGCUGAAAUGUGGGCAGGGCUGUUAUGAAAUGCACAAAUCCCUGUGGAUUCAGGGAAGAGAUUCAGAAGAGAGAAGUGGAACAUGAGUGAUGCCUUGAUUUGACCUUGCAUAAGACAUUGCAAUUUGUACAAGUACAUUUAACAUCUGUUACAAGUAUGGACAUAAUUUAUGGGUAUUCUGGGCAGUCCCUUGUAAAUGUGUUUUUGCUCACUGUCAAGUUUUCCAGUCUGGCAUUUUUUACCCUUUUUAUAAUGUGUAUAUACUGUAAAUAUAUUAUGCAAUGUCUGCAGUUUGUUGCCUGUUGUACAGGAAGUACUCUGUGUAGUCCACCACUGUCAGCGUCUUUGUUCUGAACACUUGUUUUGUAUUAAAACAGGGUUAGGAAUGUUAAGUUCCCUGUUCAUUGCAAGGAAGCCUGUUGACCACCCAGAGGGAAUAUGUUUUUUUUGCCAGAUUCAUUUGAGUGACUAAGUGAUUUGAUUUUGAAUCUGUAAAGCUAUCUUCAGGCAGCAUAAGUAGAAACAGCCAAUAGACAUUACCAUUCUAAAGCUUUGAGUUUUCAAUGUAGGUCAAAUUCAGGAGCUGCUAAGGGGGGUUUGAAGCAAAUUAAAUUAAUACUGAAGGGCUGUGCCACAUGAGACCUUAAUGGAGUGAAAGGGGUGAUAAUAAAUGAGCAUGUUUGGAUGACGAGCAGGACUCUGGCCUAUGGAUCAUUGGCUCUACAGGGUGCACUACAUAUAUACAGAUUUCUUUAUAAGCAGUUAAGUGGAAUUUCAAAUGAAUGGAUAAAAUGAACAUUUGUUUAUUUUUUUUCAUAUGAGUUGUCAUUUGCUACAUUCAA